Molecule: long non-coding RNA, 1770 nt
Organism: Amphiprion ocellaris (clown anemonefish)
Lineage: Eukaryota; Metazoa; Chordata; Actinopteri; Pomacentridae
Source: Ensembl
UUUUCAGUUAGCUGUGUGAGCGUGCAGAGAGUGUGUGUGAUGUUUAUUCGUCUACCAAAAGUCUUUAUUGAUGGUGAUUAUUAUUAGCUUUUAUUUUUGUCCAUUUGUUUUUAUUAUUAUGAUUACUAUGAUUACUGUUUUUAUUAUUACUGUUGCUAUUAUUAUUAUUAUUAUUAUUAUUCAGGGCAAAGAUGACACCAAAUUGAACAAAGAAAUAAGAGGGUGAUCCCAGACAGACGGAGCUAAAGGUUUAUUUUCCUGGCGAGGUGGUUUUUCUCACCGUUACGCUGUAGUGUCUGUCCACCUUUUAUUCAAACCGCCACAUAAAGAUAACCUCUGAGCUGAAAGUCUAAUAGUAUUUUUUUUUUUAUUAUUGUUAUUGUAUGUUGUUUUCCUUUGAUCAGAUAUCAUGAUCAAUUUAUUUCUUGUUACCCCAGUUUGGGUCAUAAAUUGUGUGCUGUUAUUUUUUCCCCCACCUUCAUCCCUGCCCUCUGCUUUUGGAGUUUAUUUUUUAUUCUGUUUUAUUUUCUGAUUCUUAUUUUUUAUUCUUUCUGGUUUGAUUGAUGCUGUAGUAGUGAGCUGAUGGUCAAAUACCAGAGCUUUUUGUUUUGUUUUCUAAUGCUGAGACUGUUGUGACUGAUGUUGCACUUGUGAUGGGUUUUAUUUUUGUUUUGUUUUGUGUUGCAGAUUGUUGUGCAGAGAGGAGAAUAUUGGGUGUUUUCCUUAUUUUCUUAAAGUCACAGCAGUUAUUUUGUCAAUCAUAUAAAUCUGUGACACAGAGCAAGAAAAUGAUUCAACAGUGUAUUUUUCUCACUGGUAUUUAUUUAUUGGUCAUUUGUAUGUUUUUUUUGUUUGUUUUUUAUUAUUUGUUUUUAUGUGUAUUGCUUUUUUGUUGAGGGCAAACAGGACUCAAGGUAGAGGAGUAGUCUCUCAUUGGCAUUUUACCAUUUUACCAUCGUGUACAGAAAGCAAAAUAUUGUAUCCAGUCAUCACACUAACAUGAAACAGUCUAUUUAGUAGAUUAACAGGUAAAAAUAGCAACCAGCAGCGCAGUAAAGUGCACUGUUUCUGACUUUGCUGCGACUUCCUGACGUCGUCCGUUAUUUUGUUUACUGUUUACCCUCUCAGAAGGCCCCGACAAACACAUCGUGGUGUAUUUGACUCUUGUGCUCGGCUAAUAACUCACAGUUAAAGCUUGUAUUGUUUGGAUGGUUUUUAAUCAGUAAGUACUGAAUGCCACCCACGACAGACUUUUUUUUUUCUUUUCUUUUUUUUUUUUUUAAGUUUUCGGUGUUUCAGCUGAUGAUAACUACUAUGAUAGUGGACUGAUUGGCUUGUUAUUAACCUGCACUUCCUGACAGCGAGGUGGGACACGCCUGCUUUGGAUUAUCAUUGAGGUUUGUUUGCUUGGUCUUUCUAAAAGCCGUUGUCAGUCUAGAUUGCAUGACUUUGUUGGUUUGCAGGGUGGGAGCGGGGGGAGGACUGACUUCAGUCACCGCUGUCGCAGUUCAAAAGCUUCUUGUAUGUACGACACACCCUUGGUUUAUAUUGUCCUGACGGUUGUAUCAGUUGACACAGCUUUACUGCCCGUUCCUUUUUAAUUGUUUUGUUUGGGGUUUUUUGGCUGUAUUUUAUCCCUCCCCCCUCCCCAGUCUCAUUUCAAACAGAAUAAAUGCCAUUAUAUUGUGAAUACCUCAGGAUUUUUUUGGAGAAAAAAAUAAUAAAACACUUAAAAAUCAAAUAAAUAAAUAAACAAAAAACUCAUAAAAC